RNAcentral lists this ribosomal RNA (376 nucleotides) under uncultured bacterium. RNAcentral describes it as "bacterial SSU rRNA". It matches the Rfam family "Bacterial small subunit ribosomal RNA", at positions 441 to 793 of the family's 1533-position model. The record is from RNAcentral.
AGGAAGGUAGUGUAGCUAACACCUGCACUAUUUGACGUUACCUACAGAAGAAGCACCGGCUAACUCCGUGCCAGCAGCCGCGGUAAUACGGGAGGGUGCGAGCGUUAAUCGGAAUUACGUGGGACGUAAAAGCGCAUGCAGGCGGCCUGUUAAGUCAGAUUGUAGAAAACGGCCCCGGGGGUACUUUAAACCCUACGGUAAAUUGCUAUUUAGAAACUGGCAGGCUAGAGUCUUGUAGAGGGGGUAGAAUUUCAGGUGUAGCGGUGAAAUGCGUAGAGAUCUGAAGGAAUACCAGUGGCGAAGGCGGCCCCCUGGACAAAGACUGACGCUCAGAUGCGAAAGCGUGGGGAGCAAACAGGAUUAGAUACCCUGGUAG